CCUACGGGAGGCAGCAGUGAGGAAUAUUGCUCAAUGGACGAAAGUCUGAAGCAGCGACGCCGCGUGAGGGAUGAAGUCCGUUUGGAUGUAAACCUCUUUUGCAGAAGAAGAAUGUUUCGAUUUCUCGAAAUUGACGGUAUUUUGCGAAUAAGCACCGGCUAACUACGUGCCAGCAGCCGCGGUAAUACGUAGGGUGCGAGCGUUGUCCGGAAUUACUGGGUGUAAAGGGUCCGCAGGCGGGCGAGUAAGUCUGUGGUGAAAUCUUACGGCUUAACCGUAAAAUUGCCACGGAAACUGCUUGCCUUGAGUGUGAAAGAGGAAGAUGGAAUUCAUGGUGUAGCAGUGAAAUGCGUAGAUAUCAUGAAGAACACCGGUAGCGAAGGCGAUCUUCUGGUUCACAACUGACGCUCAGGGACGAAAGCGUGGGGAGCAAACAGGAUUAGAUACCCUGGUAGUCCACGCCCUAAACCAUGGAUACUCGAUGUCGGAUCGAAAGAUUCGGUGUCUGAGACAACGACGAAUAAGUAGUCCACCGUCGGGGAGGUACGAGUCGUCGUAGGUUAGUUAAACGUACGAAAGGAAAGUUAGACGGCGUUGAGACGUUAGCCGACGGACGACGACGAGGGAGGAGG
Molecule: ribosomal RNA, 632 nt
Filed under: uncultured bacterium
Lineage: Bacteria
Description: bacterial SSU rRNA
Rfam family: Bacterial small subunit ribosomal RNA (bases 1-534)
Source: RNAcentral